AAGUCUUUCUCACAUAUUACACAUCUUAUGUUUGCAGUUAAUAGGAAGUUAAUUUUAAACUGAUACUUUUCAUCUAUGACAAACAUCUCCAUCCUUUAAUGUCUCCCCCCUCCUCCGUGGGAAAAUAUAAAUCAAUCAAAUAAAACAGAAUGCAAGAUUGAUCAACUCUUUUACCAGCUAAACAUGGUGGAACCACAUCAGCACAAUAUAUAACAUAUGGUUCCAAUAUGCUGCUGGGCACCACAAUGUGAUGAUGUUGCACCACCAUGUCAGCUCCUUGCCAAUCAUAAAAGAGCCUUUUAGUCCAACAUCUUCCAAGAAUAGAUUAAAUUAAUACAAUCAAUAGCUUAAAUUAAUACAAUCAAUAGCUUACACUUUCCUUCUCCAUCAAAACAUAGCAAAGUCCUCUGGAACUUUGCAGA
This 422-nucleotide long non-coding RNA is filed under the name Vitis vinifera (wine grape). RNAcentral's name for it is "long non-coding RNA (VVIN_LNC004784)". The record is from RNAcentral. Lineage: Eukaryota; Viridiplantae; Streptophyta; Magnoliopsida; Vitales; Vitaceae.